GGAAAGAGCUUGCUCUUUCCGGAAUUGAGUGGCAAACGGGUGAGUAACACGUAAACAACCUGCCUUCAGGAUGGGGACAACAGACGGAAACGACUGCUAAUACCGAAUAAGUUCCAAGGGCCGCAUGGCCCAUGGAAGAAAAGGUGGCCUCUACCUGUAAGCUAUCGCCUGAAGAGGGGUUUGCGUCUGAUUAGCUGGUUGGAGGGGUAACGGCCCACCAAGGCGACGAUCAGUAGCCGGUCUGAGAGGAUGAACGGCCACACUGGAACUGAGACACGGUCCAGACUCCUACGGGAGGCAGCAGUGGGGAAUCUUCCGCAAUGGGCGAAAGCCUGACGGAGCAACGCCGCGUGAGUGAUGACGGCCUUCGGGUUGUAAAACUCUGUGAUCCGGGACGAAAAGGCAGAGUGCGAAGAACAAACUGCAUUGACGGUACCGGAAAAGCAAGCCACGGCUAACUACGUGCCAGCAGCCGCGGUAAUACGUAGGUGGCAAGCGUUGUCCGGAAUUAUUGGGCGUAAAGCGCGCGCAGGCGGCUUCCCAAGUCCCUCUUAAAAGUGCGGGGCUUAACCCCGUGAUGGGAAGGAAACUGGGAAGCUGGAGUAUCGGAGAGGAAAGUGGAAUUCCUAGUGUAGCGGUGAAAUGCGUAGAGAUUAGGAAGAACACCGGUGGCGAAGGCGACUUUCUGG
Molecule: ribosomal RNA, 689 nt
Filed under: uncultured Peptococcaceae bacterium
Lineage: Bacteria; Bacillati; Bacillota; Clostridia; Eubacteriales; Peptococcaceae
Description: bacterial SSU rRNA
Rfam family: Bacterial small subunit ribosomal RNA
Source: RNAcentral